RNAcentral lists this unclassified non-coding RNA (1892 nucleotides) under Melitaea cinxia (Glanville fritillary). RNAcentral describes it as "misc RNA ENSMCXG00005000877.1". The record is from RNAcentral. Lineage: Eukaryota; Metazoa; Arthropoda; Insecta; Lepidoptera; Nymphalidae.
AGUCGAGUCGCGUAACGCAUGUGUGUCGAACGCUCCGCGAUAGUGCGGUAGUGUCGGACUCUGCAAGUACGCGUAGAUGAAAAGUGCCGUGUCUUGAAAUUUUAAUAAACGGGGCUCUGUCAUCUGCUAUAGAAUUUUAAAUUCGAUACUGUAACCGACGUCGCGCGGCGUCAUGGCUCUGAAAUUAUCACUGAUACGUUCACGGGCCACCGAACGCUACAGAGGUUAAUUCACUCGACGUGUAAGCUCAUAUUUCUCGAGCGAGAAGUCGAAACGUUUUGUAGACAUUGUAGCGAGCUUCGAGCGGAUUGAAUUACUGGCGAUAGAUUACAUUGUCUAUGUUAAACGACCGAAAAUAAUUUUCGAGUACCGCAAGUACGACAGCGUAGAGUCACGACAUUACGAGUAAUAAUAAAAUGCAGAAGCGUCGCAUUUAAAAUUCACAUAUAUGCAAUGACGGGCGAACGGUCUCAGCGUUAUUGAGGAAUCGAGUGUAAAGACCUCAUUGUGUUUUUUAAUACAUAUUGUGAUGAGUAAAAUAUGAUAGGGCCUCGCUCCGCCCACGUUGGACGAUUAAAAAUUUAAAUACGAUCGUCAACGGAGGACAUUUUACAUUCUGACACGGGUUCGAGCUGAUACGGGUUUUUUUUAAGGCUACGAAUUCUAGUUUCGAGUCACGAGUUUUUACGUUUGGGGAAUCCAUUUACGGGUGAUAUCCAGGAUGCCCGGGUAGGCAUUCCUAGACCAUAUGUCGACUUCAGCACUUGGGGGUGCAAUACCGACCAAAGCCCUGCGGGAGCCUUCAGCCGCUUCAACUGGAGGGUCCCGGAUCUACAGGCAACAGGAUCCCGCCAGCGACAGGUUGGCCUUGGCGAAAAGAUCAGACUUCUCCUCCAUGGGGACUGUCCGGCGCACCUCUGAACAAUCCCGACGACGAUGAUAUUUAGUGAUAGCUGUAGCUAUUCUCAGAAAAAAUGCUACCAGAUGUAAAAUAGAAAAUUGUAUUAAAUAUUACAGGAUUAAUAAAACCCGAUGUCACGUAAAAUCCAAAAAUUUCAUAUUAGAUUUUUGUACCAUACAACCAUUUCGUUUUAGAUGAAUUUAAAAUAUGUGCAAAUAACUUUACAUGUAUGUAUUUUUUCAAUUAUUCUAUUUUUCAAAACCAUUUUCCUCAAUACAAACAACAAAGUUGACAUGCUUGUAUAUCUGACUACAUAUCUCGCGGACUCUAAUUAUAAACUAAAUUAUUAUUACUAGUUUCAUAAAACCUUGAAAAGUGACUGAGAUCUGUUCUCGUCAAAACAAUACAAGAAUUUCAUUACCGCAAACCAUAAUUUGCAACUACAGUACAUGUUUCGAUACAGACUAAUACCGAACCCUACAUCGGCCACUGUACACCCGCGACUGCACAUCGUAAGCUCAGAUGUAGAGCGUAGUUCGACUUUCCUCAGCGAGAUGUUAUUUUUAUUGCAAAUUUAUUUUUGUUAUAUUGUAAUGGCGCAAAUCAAGCGUCGUGACCGUAUUACACAGUCGCUUAACAACUGCAUGUGCAUCAAAAAUUAUCAGCGCUUAAGUUAGGUUGUGGUUUAUUAAUAUUGAAAAUGUCAAAUUCCUUGACUCGUUCACGUUUAUCUUGUAUAUUGUUUGUAUUGACCAACCUAUCAUGUAUGUAUGGCGUUGUAUAUGGCUCAUACAAAGUAGCUUGAGUUAAUUUUAAUUAAUCCUCUAUCUGCAAAGAUGAUUUCAUAACGUGUGCCGACAUCACCGUGGUAUAAAUAUAUUUAAAUAGGUAUAAUGAAAUUGACCUUUAAAAAUAACAUAUGCAUAUAUGCAUAUAAUAUAUAUGCAUAUGAGAUAAUUUAUAAUACAAUUAAAUAACCUUUAAAUACCAG